AACGCGAAGAACCUUACCUGGUCUUGACAUCCUAGGAAUCCCGAAGAGAUUUGGGAGUGCCGCAAGGAGCCUAGAGACAGGUGCUGCAUGGCUGUCGUCAGCUCGUGUCGUGAGAUGUUGGGUUAAGUCCCGCAACGAGCGCAACCCUUGUCCUUAGUUGCCAGCAUUAAGUUGGGCACUCUAAGGAGACCGCCGGUGACAAACCGGAGGAAGGUGGGGAUGACGUCACGUCAUCAUGGCUUCUAUGCCCCAGGGCUACACCACGUCGCUACAAUGGUAGAUACAGACGGAAGCCAACCCGCCGAGCGGGACCCAAUCCCAGAACAUACAUCGCAGUCCGGCUUCGAGUAUGCAACUCCAGUCCCUGAACUCCGAACGGCUCGCCCAAAGCACUCGCAAUGCCGCGGGAACAAGUCCCGGUAUUUCUCACU
RNAcentral lists this ribosomal RNA (431 nucleotides) under uncultured bacterium. RNAcentral describes it as "bacterial SSU rRNA". The stretch from base 1 to 380 matches the Rfam family "Bacterial small subunit ribosomal RNA", at positions 958 to 1335 of the family's 1533-position model. The record is from RNAcentral.